Molecule: ribosomal RNA, 470 nt
Filed under: uncultured bacterium
Lineage: Bacteria
Description: partial 16S ribosomal RNA
Rfam family: Bacterial small subunit ribosomal RNA
Source: RNAcentral
ACGAACGCUGGCGGCGUGCUUAACACAUGCCAGUCGAACGGAAAGGCCCUGCUUGCAGGGUGCUCGAGUGGCGAACGGGUGAGUAACACGUGGGUGAUCUGCCCCUUACUUUGGGAUAAGCCUGGGAAACUGGGUCUAAUACUGGAUAGGACCAUGCUGUAGGUGGUGUGGUGGAAAGAUUUUUUCGGUAAGGGAUGAGCUCGCGGCCUAUCAGCUUGUUGGUGGGGUAAUGGCCUACCAAGGCGUCGACGGGUAGCCGGCCUGAGAGGGUGGACGGCCACAUUGGGACUGAGAUACGGCCCAGACUCCUACGGGAGGCAGCAGUGGGGAAUAUUGCACAAUGGGCGCAAGCCUGAUGCAGCGACGCCGCGUGGGGGAUGACGGCCUUCGGGUUGUAAACUCCUUUCAGCCAUGACGAAGCCUCUUUUGGGGUGACGGUAGUGGUAGAAGAAGCACCGGCUAACUACGUG